RNAcentral lists this transfer RNA (75 nucleotides) under Thermoplasmatales archaeon. Its description in RNAcentral is "tRNA-Arg". It matches the Rfam family "tRNA". Rfam says of the family: Transfer RNA (tRNA) molecules are approximately 80 nucleotides in length. Their secondary structure includes four short double-helical elements and three loops (D, anti-codon, and T loops). Lineage: Archaea; Methanobacteriati; Thermoplasmatota; Thermoplasmata; Thermoplasmatales. RNAcentral also lists the same sequence under 1 other name. The record is from RNAcentral.
GGGCGCGUGGCCUAGCCAGGAUAGGGCGCUGGCCUUCUAAGCCAGAUGUCGCGGGUUCAAAUCCCGCCGCGUCCG